Molecule: long non-coding RNA, 761 nt
Filed under: Dromaius novaehollandiae (emu)
Lineage: Eukaryota; Metazoa; Chordata; Aves; Casuariiformes; Dromaiidae
Description: lncRNA (ENSDNVG00000005133.1)
Source: RNAcentral
CCAAGCACAGCAUUCAGGAUACUUGCAUGGUCUUUCCUCUGUGGACCCUUGGAGAAAUGAAAAAGGAAGAGGCUUUUAUUAUUUGUUUUGUGUAGAUGGACAGUGGUGGAACUUUAUCAGUAAGAAGCAUUAGCCAAAAAAAGACUUUAUCUACAGUUCAACCUAAUCACUACCAGCUGGUUGUUCAUGGAGUGAGAACGAUGAAYGUCAUAAGCUGUGCAAGAAAGUGAGAUAUCUACAGCAGACAGCAGUAUCUUGUCAAGAGGAAAAGGUAGUCCUUGAUAAAGAUAUAUGACUUCAGAUACUUUGGCUUUACUCCAGUUCCUACCUUGAACUUCCCGCAUUAUCAGGGACAAGUCACAAACCUUUGUACCUUGUUGCUUCRUAUCAAAAAUGUAGAUAAUUCUUCUUCUGUUUUCUUUCUUCUUAUUGUUUGUGGCAAUUCCUAAACUCGCUCAGUGAUGCUUUGACACAACAAAGCCCUAUUUGGAGGUUGGUGGCUACAAACUGCUGAAAUGUAAACAGAUUGUCACCAAAUUAAGGAAUUACCUAAGCAAUAGACUUCGUCCUCUCACUGCUACUUUUGGCUAAUAUUAAAACUGUGUUUACUGCACAGGUUAAUACAAACCAACAGCUGGCAAAACAUUUAGUACAUUUCUGAAAAGGGAGGUGGAUUCAGUAGUGGCUAGUUUCCAUUUCUGCCAGGAUCCCACCUCUGACUGUUAAAAGGGGCAUGGUAGGGCUCUUCCCUGUGCAGAAAA